UACGUAGGUGGCGAGCGUUAUCCGGAAUUACUGGGCGUAAAGGGCGUGUAGGCGGCGGUGUAAGUCAGAUGUGAAAUCUCCCGGCUCAACCGGGAGCGGGCAGCUGAUACUGCAGGACUUGAGUGAGAGAGGGGAGAGCGGAAUUCCGAGUGUAGCGGUAAAAUGCGUAGAUAUUAGGAGGAACACCAGUGGCGAAGGCGGCUUUCUGGCUAUUAACUGACGCUGAGGCGCGAAAGCGUGGGGAGCAAACAGG
This 253-nucleotide ribosomal RNA is filed under the name uncultured bacterium. RNAcentral describes it as "partial 16S ribosomal RNA". It matches the Rfam family "Bacterial small subunit ribosomal RNA", at positions 524 to 776 of the family's 1533-position model. The record is from RNAcentral.